Molecule: ribosomal RNA, 237 nt
Filed under: uncultured bacterium
Lineage: Bacteria
Description: partial 16S ribosomal RNA
Rfam family: Bacterial small subunit ribosomal RNA
Source: RNAcentral
CGGAACGUGUCCUGUUGUGGGGGGAGUAACUGAUCGAAAGAUCAGCUAAUACCGCAUGAGACCUGAGGGUGGAAAGCGGGGGAGUCGCAAGACCUCGCGCGACAGGAGCGGCCGAUGUCUGAUUAGCUAGUUGGUGAGAUAAAAGCUUACCAAGGCGACGAUCAGUAGCUGGUCUGAGAGGAUGAUCAGCCACAUUGGGACUGAGACACGGCCCAGACUCCUACGGGAGGCAGCAUG